CAACCGCUCCGAGAGGGCGUCCCUGCAGGGCUUGCAUCACCCCCCCGGAGCCUCCUCUCACAUCGCCCCGGCUUGCGACACCUCCAUUUCUCGUCCCCCGCACAGAAGAGGGGUCCCUCGGCCCUCGACAGGGGUUGGGAGUCCAGGGGAAUCUUUGGUAACCGUCUCGCUGAAGGGAUGGGAGAAGAAAAAACAACCAACAGCCUCAGGCCGUUUGCUGUGGUCACAUCUUGGCAAGCUUGUCAUGAGAACCUGGAAGAAAAACAGGGACUUUUGCAAUGUUACGCUGUGCUGUAGGCUGAGAUGACUUUUCUAGCAGGUCCAUCCACUUAUUUAUUUAUUUAUUUUUGUGAGAGUUUGCAGCAAAACCCUUCCUGCGGCACUUGUUUUCUGUCAGUGGUGAAUUAAUUUUAAGUAUGUCCAAUUCACACGACCUCUGCAUGAAAAAAAAAAUAUAUCGUGACUGUCAUUUCUUAUACUAAACCUAGCAAGGGUGAAGAUGCAUUUCUUCUCUUUGCAUUCCAGAGAAUCCGUCCUGAAAUAAUUUACUUUCUAGUCUUAUUAUUCACGCCAAUAAAGACUGCUUUAUUCAUGCUAAUAA
Non-coding RNA from Anas platyrhynchos (mallard), 601 nucleotides. The record is from RefSeq and is a predicted model, not a curated record. NCBI's taxonomy places the organism in Eukaryota, Metazoa, Chordata, Aves, Anseriformes, Anatidae.